RNAcentral lists this ribosomal RNA (205 nucleotides) under uncultured fungus. RNAcentral's name for it is "partial small subunit ribosomal RNA". The stretch from base 82 to 205 matches the Rfam family "Eukaryotic small subunit ribosomal RNA", at positions 739 to 865 of the family's 1831-position model. The record is from RNAcentral. Lineage: Eukaryota; Fungi.
GGCUUGGUGAUCGGGUCUUCCUUUAUUGGUUGCAUUCGAUCUGCCUUGCCUUAUCUUCUAGGCUCACGUCGCAAGACGUGUGAUUCUAGAACUUUUACUGUGAAUAAAUUAGAGUGUUCAAAGCAGGCAAUCGCUUGAAUACAUUAGCAUGGAAUAAUGAAAUAGGGCUUCAGUUCUAUUUUGUUGGUUUUCAGAAUCCGAAGCA